RNAcentral lists this ribosomal RNA (464 nucleotides) under uncultured bacterium. RNAcentral's name for it is "partial 16S ribosomal RNA". It matches the Rfam family "Bacterial small subunit ribosomal RNA", at positions 28 to 507 of the family's 1533-position model. The record is from RNAcentral.
GACGAACGCUGGCGGCGUGCUUAACACAUGCAAGUCGAGCGGAAAGGCCACUUCGGUGGUACUCGAGCGGCGAACGGGUGAGUAACACGUGAGUAAUCUGCCCUUGGCUUUGGGAUAGCCACCGGAAACGGAGAUUAAUACCGGAUACGACCACUCCAGGCAUCUGGUGGUGGUGGAAAGUUUUUCGGCCCGGGAUGUGCUCGCGGCCUAUCAGCUUGAUGGUGAGGUAAUGGCUCACCAUGGCUUCGACGGGUAGCCGGCCUGAGAGGGUGACCGGUCACACUGGGACUGAGAUACGGCCCAGACUCCUACGGGAGGCAGCAGUGGGGAAUAUUGGACAAUGGGCGGAAGCCUGAUCCAGCAACGCCGCGUGAGGGAUGACGGCCUUCGGGUUGUAAACCUCUUUCGGUAGUGACGAAGCGCAAGUGACGGUACCUACUAAAGAAGCACCGGCCAACUACGUG